RNAcentral lists this ribosomal RNA (1906 nucleotides) under human gut metagenome. RNAcentral describes it as "bacterial LSU rRNA". It matches the Rfam family "Bacterial large subunit ribosomal RNA", at positions 3 to 1989 of the family's 2925-position model. The record is from RNAcentral.
UCAAGCUAAAAAGAGCGCAAGGUGAAUGCCUUGGCAUCGGAAGCCGAAGAAGGACGCGACAAGCUGCGAAAAGCUGCGGGGAGCUGCAAAUAAGCCCAGAUCCGCAGAUAUCCGAAUGGGGAAACCCCGUUAUAUGAAGUAUAGCGAGUGUACACUGAAUACAUAGGUGUAUACGGGGAACCCGCCGAACUGAAACAUCUAAGUAGGCGGAGGAAAAGAAAUCAAACGAGAUUGCGCGAGUAGCGGCGAGCGAAAGCGUAAGAGGCUAAACCGCAAGUAGAAAUACAUGCGGGGUUGUGGACGGCAUAAAGCAUUUUCAAAUGGUAGCCGAAGUGAAUGGGAAGUCACACCGUAGGAAGUGAGAGUCUUGUAGGCGAAACCAAAUGAAAGCGGGCCGUAUCCGGAGUAUGUACGAACACGUGGAAUUUGUACAGAACAUUGGGGGACCACCCUCAAAGCCUAAAUACUAACCGAUGACCGAUAGUGAAGCAGUACUGUGAAGGAAAGGUGAAAAGAACCCCGAAAGGGGAGUGAAAGAGAACCUGAAACCUUGUGUUUACAAGCACACAAAGAGCGUUAAGGCUCGAUGUGGUACUUUUUGUAGAACGGUCCGGCGAGUUAACUUAUACAGCGAGGUUAAGCACUUAAGGUGUGGAGCCGAAGGGAAACCGAGUUUAAAUAGAGCGAAUAGUUGUAUGAGUUAGACCCGAAACCGGGUGACCUAUCCAUGUCCAGGAUGAAGUCGGGGUAAAGCCCGAUGGAGGACCGAACCGACCCCCGUUGAAAAGUUGGCGGAUGAGGUGUGGAUAGCGGAGAAAUUCCAAUCGAACCCGGAGAUAGCUGGUUCUCCCCGAAAUAGCUUUAGGGCUAGCCUUGUAAUAGACAUUACCGGAGGUAAAGCACUGAAUAGGUUAGGGGCCGAGAGGUUACCGACCCUUAUCAAACUCUGAAUGCCGGAUAAUGAUAAACAGGAGUCAGACUGUGUGAGAUAAGUCUCACGGUCAAAAGGGAAACAGCCCAGAUCUACAGCUAAGGUCCCAAAUGUAUGCUAAGUGGAGAAGGAUGUGACGUUGCAGAGACAACCAGGAUGUUGGCUCAGAAGCAGCCACUCAUUCAAAGAGUGCGUAAUAGCUCACUGGUCGAGUGAAGUUGCGCCGAAAAUUUAACGGGGCUAAGCAUACAACCGAAGCUUAGGCUGCAUACAAAAUGUAUGCGGGGUAGGGGAGCGUUGUGUACGGAGUGAAGCAUUAGCGAAAGCAGGUGUGGACUGUACAGAAGAGAGAAUGCCGGAAUAAGUAGCGAGAAUUGCGUGAGAAUCGCAAUGGCCGAAAGUCUGAGGUUUCUAGGGGCAGGUUCGUCCGCCCUAGGUAAGCCGGAAGCUAAGGAGAGGCCGGAAGGCGUAGCCGAUGCACAUACGGUAGAGAUUCCGUAGCCGCCGAAACUGUUAAGUAUACUGACACUGAGUAAACUCGUAAGCCGGGCGAUGGUUGACCCGGUCGUAAGGGACUGAAAUUUAGUAAGGAAGUACGAGGUAAUCAGGCGAGAAAAGGUAUAUGUAUUGGUAAGGCGUCCGUACCGCAAACCGACACAGGUAGAUGAGGAGAGAAUCCUAAGGCCAUCGGGAGAAGGGUUGUUAAGGAACUCGGCAAAUUGACCCCGUAACUUAGGGAGAAGGGGAGCCUGCGAAAGCAGGCCGCAGUGAAUAGGCUCAGGCAACUGUUUAGCAAAAACACAGGUCUCUGCUAAAUCGAAAGAUGAAGUAUAGGGGCUGACGCCUGCCCGGUGCCGGAAGGUCAAGGGGAAGUGUUAGAGCAAUCGAAGCACAGAACUUAAGCCCCGGUAAACGGCGGCCGUAACUAUAACGGUCCUAAGGUAGCGAAAUUCCUUGUCAGGUAAGUUCUGACCC